This 460-nucleotide ribosomal RNA is filed under the name uncultured bacterium. RNAcentral's name for it is "partial 16S ribosomal RNA". It matches the Rfam family "Bacterial small subunit ribosomal RNA", at positions 338 to 795 of the family's 1533-position model. The record is from RNAcentral.
CCUACGGGGGGCUGCAGUGAGGAAUAUUGGUCAAUGGGCGAGAGCCUGAACCAGCCAAGUCGCGUGAAGGAUGACGGCCCUACGGGGUGUAAACUUCUUUUGUCAGGGAGCAAGUGGGUCCACGCGUGGGCUUAGCGAGAGGACCUGAAGAAAAAGCAACGGCUAACUCCGGGCAAGCAGCCGCGGUAAUACGGAGGAUGCGAGCGUUAUCCGGAUUUAUUGGGGUUAAAGGGUGCGUAGGCGGAAUAUCAAGUCAGCGGUAAAAAUUCGGGGCUCAACCCCGUCGUGCCGUUGAAACGGCUGUUCUUGAGUGGGCGAGCAGUAUGCGGCAUGCGUGGUGUAGCGGUGCAAUGCAUAGCUCUCACGCAGCACUCCGAUUGCGCAGGCAGCAUCCCGGCGCCCACCUGACGCUGAUGCACGAAAGCGUGGGUAUCGAACCGGAUUAGAUACCCCAGUAGUC